Felis catus (domestic cat) is the source of this 1641-nucleotide long non-coding RNA. RefSeq lists it as uncharacterized. NCBI's taxonomy places the organism in Eukaryota, Metazoa, Chordata, Mammalia, Carnivora, Felidae. The record is from RefSeq and is a predicted model, not a curated record. The transcript has 6 exons.
ACUGGAAAGGCCCCUUGCCAGACCUUGAUGCAGAAUGCAUGGAAUAUUCACCUUAUGUGGAUCAUGGAACAGACGGUUAUCUGAAGUUAAGAUUAUAAGCGGAGAAGUUCUUUUUCUUUGGCACUCCCCCAGUCAAUUGUUUUGGGGGUUCUUUGCCAGAUUCCCCAACAGCUCCAACAUCACAAGCUGGGUCUGUACUGUCUUGUUAUCAGCAGACCUGAGAAGAAAGGUCUACGUGGAGAAAAACAGUCGAGGCACAAAAACCCAGGUGAAGCAGUGUUUCCCUUCCAUUGUGAACCUGGUUAUCCAGAACCUACCUCAGUCAAUAAAAAGGGGAGGAAUUAACCCGCCCACCCAUCUCUGGGUGGGUGUAGACCUUCUCUUCCCACUUCCCUGGCUUGCUUGCUUUAGGAAAUGGCCCAGGAGAUUGGUGUCAGGGUUGGACACAAUUGCUUAAGUAUCUGAUACUGAAGACUGAGAACGCCAGUAUCUGGAACACAGCCAUGAACACCUUGAGUGUCUGACAUUGUCCAUUUGAUGAAUGCCAUGGGGGAGCCUAGUUGGAAGCGUACUAUCCCAAACUUUGCCAAGUCCCCAUGGAUAGAGUCUGUAUCUUGGCAGAAAGUCCAAAGGGACCAGGAUGGACCAUAUCUCAUGACCAUACAAAUCUUCCCCAAGUCCUAGUUCACCUCUAAUGCCAAGGAAUCCGAGAGAUUUCCUGACAUCUUUUAUCACUUAUCUCAAGGAUUGCUCGUUCCGAGGAUUUUGAAUGACUACUCGAACUGGUUUAUCCAAGGUGAUGUAAAUUAUGAUCUUGGUUUGAUGACACUCUUGCAUGGAUGGAAAGAGGCAUGGAGUUCUUUGUACUAACAUCCUAUGAAGAACUCCAGACGGACCUUGGGGGCAGUGUAGAGAAGAGUCAUCAAUUCCUUGGUUGAGAAUGGAAACCUGAAGCACUACUGAGUCAGUCCUCCAAAAACAGUUCCUUCUCACAACAAAGAAGAACAAAAUGUCCAGCUAUGUCACAACUGUUAGUGCUAUAUUGGGCUUCACUAAAGCAUCAAUGCUGAGAAAGGGUGACAGGGGAUGGUUCUGGGGCUCCAAGGUUGUAUCAGAGAAAUUGAUUGUUUGGUUCUAUGUCUCGUGUUUUAUAGGAAUGUCAAAGAUAUGUCUUGACUGGCCCAUAUUCAAUGUUUGAGGCAGUUUCGUUAUUUUCAGAAUAAAGACAAAUGGGCCUCACAGCACCAUGGGAAGGAAGGAUCAGGAAAUACAUAGCUCACCUUUUCCUCUGAAUAGUAACUACCCCUGCUGAGGGCUCAGAGAACCCAGAGUAUUAGGAACUUCCAGCCUAUCUUGGUUAGUUAGGUGCUCUGGAUUAUCCAUCUUCUUGUAACUUUUUUUAUUUUGGAGUAAUAUAUAACUGCUCCUUAUCUACUUUUCCCCAAAGACUACAUCCUUGUAGCUAUAGUACAACAUCAAAUAUAGGAACACAGUAUCACAAAAAUCUAUAGAGCUUGAAGAUUUAACUUUACAUGAAUUCAUUUUUUUAAUAUGAAAUUUAUUUUCAAAUUGGUUUCCAUAACACCCAGUACUCAUCCCAACAGGUGCCCUCCUCAAUACCCAUCACCCACCCUCCAUGUU